This 405-nucleotide ribosomal RNA is filed under the name uncultured bacterium. Its description in RNAcentral is "bacterial SSU rRNA". It matches the Rfam family "Bacterial small subunit ribosomal RNA", at positions 370 to 772 of the family's 1533-position model. The record is from RNAcentral.
AAUGGACGAAAGUCUGAACCAGCUAUGCCGCGUGGAGGAUGAAGGCCCUCUGGGUUGUAAACUUCUUUUAUAUGGGACGAAAAAGGGCCUUUCUAGGUCAACUGACGGUACCAUGUGAAUAAGCACCGGCUAACUCCGUGCCAGCAGCCGCGGUAAUACGGAGGGUGCAAGCGUUAUCCGGAUUCACUGGGUUUAAAGGGUGCGUAGGUGGGUUGGUAAGUCAGUGGUGAAAUCCCCGAGCUUAACUUGGGAACUGCCAUUGAUACUAUUAGUCUUGAAUACCGUGGAGGUCGGCGGAAUAUGUCAUGUAGCGGUGAAAUGCUUAGAUAUGACAUAGAACACCAAUUGCGAAGGCAGCUGGCUACACGAGUAUUGACACUGAGGCACGAAAGCGUGGGGAUCAAA